Pararge aegeria (speckled wood butterfly) is the source of this 3085-nucleotide RNA transcript. It is a transcript of the gene named RNA-binding protein 5-A-like, with no coding region annotated. The transcript has 4 exons. Lineage: Eukaryota; Metazoa; Arthropoda; Insecta; Lepidoptera; Nymphalidae. The record is from RefSeq and is a predicted model, not a curated record.
GUGGUUACAUUGAUUAUUUCAUUGUGGGAUGUUCUGUAAUUUUUUAAAUUAAUACUUCUCUUGAGUCCGUGUUUAUUUAAUAAAUAAGUUGUUAAAUAGGUUUAUAAAGGAUUUACUAUUGUGCAGAAUAUUUUCUACAGGCUAUUACGAUGUCUUGGAGAGGAAGGGAGGAACGUCCGCGCUGGGCUGAAAAUCGAGCCCGUUCACCCGUGUGGGAGGCUCGUCGCAGCGCCAGUGCCGAACGAAGUAGGCAACCAUCACCGCGCGAUCGAAGGGAUCGUGAUCGUCGCGACCGCCACGACCGAUACGAUCGUGAUAGAGAGCGCCGUGACCGUGAUAGGGACCGUGAUCGCGAUGUGGAUAGAUAUGGUCGCCGCGAUCGGUACGAUAAGCCUCGCGAUCGGGACCGAGAGCGGCGACGGUCACCACGUUGCUUUGAUGAUAGUGAUGUUCCUGCGCCGCCUUCUCCACCAAAAAUAAGUGGAGACUUUAUAAAGGACAGUGACUCUCGGUCCAGCAGUCGAUCAACCAGCCGCGAACCACAAGACCUCACCUUAGACAGCUUUGAAAGUAAAUAUGAAAGGGAAAAGCUGGAUGACAGUCAAGUAGUAAAUGCAUCUCCUGGAGAUUGGUUCUGUAAGUGUGGUUCAUACAACUUCAAGAGACGACAAGUAUGCUAUAGGCGGAACUGCCUGGGCAAGAGAAUGGAGGGGGUAGUGUAUGGAGGUGAUUCAGAGAGAGGAGGUGCUGAUUCCAACUCUGGUAUAACAAAGAGGCUUUUAUUUAGACGGCUUGAUGCUUUAACUACUGAAGAGAAAAUCUUAGAGGCAGUUAAAGACAGAUGUUCGAAAACAGUUUUAGACUCAAUUGCUGGCAUAACUAUAGGCCGAGAGACUUUGACAGGUGCUUCAAAAUGUCUCGCAUAUAUAAACUUUAAUUCUAUUGCUGAUUCUACAGCUGCUCAUUCUGAGUUAAUUUCUCUAGAUCCACCAUUGACAAUAGAUGCAAGGGAAGUUCUUAUUUCAUUUUAUAAUGAACCACAAAAAAUACAAAAGCCUAUAAAUCAAAAUUCUUCUGACUUUUCUGCAUAUUAUGCACAUAUGGCUAGUUAUGGGUCUCCUCACGCAUUAUCGGAGGCAGAUAGAGUGAAUGCAGCUGCUGCAGUUGCCCAGUCUGCUAUAAAUGCUGCCCAAGCUCGCAACAUGUCUUGGACACCAGUAUCAGUACCAGCGUUUGUUGCAUCUUCAUCAUCACAGGUGUCUUCUGUUUUAAAUAUACCAACAGGUGACAGUAAGACGGUAUACUCUGCACCAGAUGUUAGAACAUUUAUGUAUGAUGAGACAUCAGGUUAUUAUUAUGAUCCAGCAACAGGGUUAUAUUAUGAUGGCAAUACACAGUACUUUUUCAACAAUCAGACUAACCAGUACAUGUAUUGGGACGCUAAUACCUCUACCUACAUCGCUGCAUCACAAACUCAGACAAAUUCAGAUCAGCCUAAACUACAAAAUCCUCCACAGCCAAGUGUAGACAACACAAUAAUCAAAGAACCUGAAGAAAAGAAAAAGAAAGAUAAAGAUGACAAAGUGAAAGUUGCCAAGAAGAUAGCCAAAGAUAUGGAAAGAUGGGCACGUACUUUAAAUCAAAAGAAAGAGAACGCUAAAAGCAAUAUAGUAAUGGAACAACCAUCAGAUACUGGGCCUAGUAUUGGUUCUGCAGAUAUUGGUUUCUCAGUCCUUGGCGCUGGACCUUCAUUAACAAUGUUAAGAGAACUGUCACCUCCACCACCUGUGUCAACUGAUGAUUUCCUUAUGAAAAAGACAGAGACAGGUGUGUUUGAUAGUGAUGAUGGUAUAAUAGAGUGGUCUAAACUUACAUGCUUGAUUUGUAAGCGUAAAUUCCCUUCAAUUGAUGUAUUGUCUAAGCACAAAACACUUUCAGAUUUGCACAAACAAAAUCUUGCAGAUUAUAGAAAGAGAAAUGAAUUGUUACCUCCAACAAAUGGGUAUAGAGAUAGGGCAGCAGAGAGACGUAUGAAGUUUGGUGAAGAUGAUCCUCCACCAAUAAGAAAGCGAUAUGAACAACCAGAGGUGCAUGCACCAACUGUGUCAGCUCCUCCCCCAUCAGUAGUAGAUACAAUAGGUGGGAAAAUGUUGCAAAGAAUGGGUUGGUCGGAAGGAAGAGGGUUAGGGAAAGAAGAGCAAGGCAGAAUAGCUCCUAUUGAAGCUGAACAGCGACCAAGUUUAGCUGGCCUGGGUCAAAAAAGAGGCAUAUACACCCCUACACCAGGAUUAACAUACAGAGAUACAGUGAAAAAACUCAUGAUUGCAAGAUAUAAAGAGGUUGUUGGAGAAGAUUGAAGUAAUUAAUAGAUUUGGCGCCGCAAAGCAACACAGGACCUGCGCAAAAGAUGUGCCUGUUUUGCAAUUGAACCGGUCGGCUGCGAGACUCCGUGCCAAUACAAAACUUAAAUAUAUUGUUAAGAUAAUUCUUAUACAUGUAUAUAUAAGUUUAAUCUCCUAUAAAUUAGGACAUCUGUUUGUAGUUAUAAUUUGGUAUAAUAUGUAAAUUCACUUAAGAAAAAAAACUUUAGAUAGGUACAAUGUUAAUGCAAUUGAAUAAGUGAUCCAAGUAAAUUAAAACAAGCCUUCACAAAGUUUUAGUUGUUGGUUUAUAAUUAACAUAUGUAUUAUAUAUUUAUAUUUUUUAUUUUUUCAUUGUAAGUAAAUACAUCAAAAUAUGCAAACAAAUGAGCUUACACAGGGUGUAAUGAUGUAAGGUAGCUACCUUUUAAUAUAAUACAACGAACAUUAUGUGGUCAAUUGACAAAGAUACUCUAAAAUAUAUAUAUAAUGUAAAUACUACAUCAAUAGUUUUUAUUAUAAUAGUUCAUUUUAUGUACGAUUAUUUUCUAGUUUUUUUUAAAUUGCUAGGCUGUAAUACUCCAUUCAAUUAAAAAGUAAUUCUAUUUCAUAAUUUAGGUACAAAGUUUUGAAUGUGAUACUGGUGCUAAUUCAAGUUUACACUAACAACUAAACUUAAUUGAUAGGUCAUCGAGUUGGGCUUAAUUUAUUUACUAUCACACACU